This is a long non-coding RNA of Panicum hallii, 524 nucleotides long. RefSeq lists it as uncharacterized. The record is from RefSeq and is a predicted model, not a curated record. NCBI's taxonomy places the organism in Eukaryota, Viridiplantae, Streptophyta, Magnoliopsida, Poales, Poaceae. The transcript is spliced from 3 exons.
CCUCCGGGGCUCAACAAACCUCGGUGCGCGGCUCGCGCGGUCGUGCUCUGGUUUCGUCUCCUUUGCCUUUCGCGCACGCCAAAGCUAUCGCUGCUGGCGGCUCUCCUCUUCCGCUUGCUCUCCUCCCUCGUUUGGGCGUCCGGAGUCCGGGUGGAGAAGAAGAACACUUUGCUGGUGUGAGAGGGUGAAGCUGCCAGCAUGAUCUGGCUGCUCAAACGCCGGCCUCUGAAGUGCCUGGAGACGCUUCGCCAGAUCAUGUUGUAGCUUCACCCUCUCGCAACCAGCAAAUUGGUGCGUCUCGUGUGGAGGCUGUCUGUUAAGUUUCUUCACCGGUCUAUGCUGGUUGAAUCUUCAAGAGCUCACAUUUGCAUAAGAGUAGGAUGCUGCUUCUUCGGCUCUCUGCCCAGUGCCUACUAAACAAAGCCUAUAUCUCCAUAUUUCUAAUAUGAUCAAAACUACCAGAAAAGGGAACAAGAACGAAACGUGUACCAAUCAACAUAGAUAUUUUAAGGAGCAUACCUUGC